CCUGCCCGUCUGUUGCUACAUGAACCCUCUGUGAUGUCUGGGUAGCAGUCUACUGCCUGCCUGUUAUGUAGUUUGGCUCAUUCCAAGGUUCCCUGUCUGGAGUGGUGUGAUGUAGUGUUGCUCACAGAGCACCCUGUGUUAAGGUGGUCAGCUGCUGUUUUGCCUGAUUUUAACAAUUGCUGCUGGUACACUCUGGCUGUAGUGCCUCCAACCGGCACUCCCCUGGUUGAGUAUGCUUAUAUUAGAUAUAACCAACUGGUCCAUUGUGUUUAACUUAUUAUUCUUUUCAGUGGUGCUAGUGGUCAGCUUUUGGUGGAGGCUAGGCACGCUAGUGUGGGUUCCUUCACUGAUUGUAGUGUUAACGGCACCGGGGCACGAUUUAGUAGUGACACGAUUUGCAGUGAGAACCGGUUUGCAGUGACCACUGACUGCAGUGAGCAGUUGGUGCACCCCUGGAGCACACCCAUAGUUACACUGCCUCCCCACAGCUGGCCCUGGCCCACUCUGCCCUUUUUGUUUGGUUCAAUAAUCAGUAAUAACUGGGAGUGUUAAAAAUAAAAUAACUUGUUUGCCAAAAUUUGUAAUCUUUCAUAUUCCAUUGUAACUUGAUUAUUUGUAUUAUUCACCAUUCUCUUUCCAGGCACUUCCAGCUACCGAUAUCAAUAAGUUAUUCUUUUGGAGCCACGUCUGUCUUGUGUAGCCUUUGUAUAAAGGUUUAGUCAAAGAAGGAAAAAGAGCAUUUCCUGGGGUGGAAGUCCCCAGGUGGUGUCGGAUAGUUAGAUUCUGGUGGUGGUGAUUCCUCUUAGUGCCACCACCAGCUUGGCCACAUUAUCAUGCAACGAGCAUGGAUUAGUUCAACAUUAAGCUGAUGAAUAUUACUGUAAUGUUGCAGUUAGCCUGAGUUUCUAGCAUUUUGUAUGAAGAUGUCCGUACUGUGUCGUUCUGUUUUGGCUCACUUGUUAGUUUGCACACGCUUGGUGUAACGGGCCCUGAGGUUGUACUGCAGUCGGGACUCGCAACCUCAGGUACGGAAGGUUGACAUGCUAGCGAGGAUACUAAAAUCCAUGGAUGACAGCAUCAGGCGCUCUGAAGGCGUCGGGAGUGAGGUUAACUCGCUGCACAGCCUAGCUGGCUACCAUUGCAUUGGAAGGUAGUGGUUGCAAUCUAAAACCUCACUGCUAGAGGCCACUAAACUACAAAUUGCCAACAAAUUGCAUGUGCUUUUUGAUAAUGGUAUGAAUAUGAAGAUAUUCUUAGUCUCUAUCUGAAGUUGUAACUCUUUUCUCAAUGCUGAGUAGAUUGUCUACCUUUAUCACUUGUGUUGUGCCUUGUGUUUUUGUAUCUGUUCUGUUUGUAAUGCAUCUCAGGUCUCAUGUCUAAACUUCACUGUAUGUAUGAAGCAAGCAUCAAUUUGAAAAGUGAAUCAAAAGUUGUUCAGUGUUCACAUGAUGACCUCUGACCUUGAAUCUCAUCUUGGACAACAGCUAUGAGGCAUUGCGGUAAUGGAGCCGGGGAUGAGAUGAUCACCAGCAGGCUCAAGUCCCUGUUCUUUGGCCUUUGAAGGCCCAUGGUCACUCCAGAGAGGACAAGUACACUUGAAGCACCAGUGUUGUGUUCCAUAAUACUUCUACAGUGAGAGACAUGCUGCCAUGACAAAUCCCAAAGAUCAAAUUAUGGGACCUGUCAAAACAUUUCUCCUUAACUCGGCAAGCAAAUAAACAUUCUUUGGAUGUUUUAUUUAACCACUUCCUUACUAUAUUUAAAUUCUCAAGCGCUCUGGCUGUGGAUUGUUCCUAAUGUAAUGUUUAGCAACGCUAGCUAACUUACUACUGAAUGUAAUGUUAAUAUAACCCUGUUUUGCUUUUUAAUGAUUGUUCUAGUGAAGAGACCUACCCAGCUGUAAAGGAACAGUAUUGAUCCUUAAAAUUAAUCUGUAGUCUUUUGUCUUUAUAUUUCACUUCAGUGAAUAAAACCUUCAAAUGCACAAUGCCACUGCAAAA
Long non-coding RNA from Micropterus salmoides (largemouth bass), 2000 nucleotides. RefSeq lists it as uncharacterized. The record is from RefSeq and is a predicted model, not a curated record. NCBI's taxonomy places the organism in Eukaryota, Metazoa, Chordata, Actinopteri, Centrarchiformes, Centrarchidae. The transcript is spliced from 3 exons.